AUCAUAGACGCAUACAUACAUUGCAUAAGUGCUAAGCAACAUCUACAGAUGAGGUCAGGUGGAAGUGUGUUCUUAGAGAAUGCAUGCAUCUCUAAGAUGAUAAAGGAAUUUAGCUCUAUACGGGAUGACGCACCAAAAUGGGUAUUACAGAGAGCUAAAACUUAUUUGGAACAUGAUAUGAUAUUCGUUCCAGUUAACAUUGAAGAGUUUCAUUGGUACCUAGCACUUAUAAAUACCGGGAAGCGAUGUAUCCAGGUGCUCGACUCGGUAGGCCCAGGAAUGAACCGCAACGACCUCACUGCUAUGCUGAAAGGACUAGAAAAUGUAUUCCAAUAUGCUAAGCUUCAAAUGGAACUAAAAUCUCAUAAGUGGAAAGACUUAAACAUCAGUGCAUGGCCAAGGGAAGAGUGUAUUAAGAAGAGACUGCAGACAGAUGAUUUUAGAACAAAACUAGCCGUCAUUUUAGUGGACUCGGAAUUGAAUGAUGAUAAUAUAAGAAAUCGAGACAUUGAAGAUGACGAAGACAACACAGAUCCCACGGAUUGUAUGAUUUUGGAAACACCCCCUGAGAACCUCAAACCAUCGAUCCAGCUUUUCAGAGACAUUCCAUGUCACUACAUGGAUCUAAAUUUUUGUUUCAUGUCCUACUAUGCACGAGACUCACGUCAUCGUGGAAAUAUGGUCAUUGCUAUGUUGAAAUGGAUGUUUGAUAGCUGGCCAGACAGUAAUGAGUAUCAUAUUUCACAGUGUCAUACAAUUUUAUUGCCUUGGGAUAUUUGUGGGAUAUUUCUAUUGUUUGUUUUCGAUCAAAAUAAAAAAGUUGUCUCAAUUAUGGAUCCGAUACCAAUACCUAUUUUGGGAAAAAUUGUACUUAAAACUGUGGUCAACAACCUAAACCGUGCACUCCAAGUUGCAAACCCUGCAUUCAAAGACGACAUCUCUAAAUGGAAAUGGGAAGUUCCUGUUGUUCCAACAAACUCACAUGGGAUGAUUUUG
Molecule: ribosomal RNA, 996 nt
Filed under: Triticum aestivum (bread wheat)
Lineage: Eukaryota; Viridiplantae; Streptophyta; Magnoliopsida; Poales; Poaceae
Description: partial small subunit ribosomal RNA
Source: RNAcentral